AUUAGAAUGACUCUCGGCAACGGAUAUCUAGGCUCUUGCAUCGAUGAAGAACGUAGCGAAAUGCGAUACUUGGUGUGAAUUGCAGAAUCCCGUGAACCAUCGAGUCUUUGAACGCAAGUUGCGCCCGAUGCCAUUAGGUUGAGGGCACGUCUGCCUGGGUGUCACAU
Molecule: ribosomal RNA, 167 nt
Filed under: Ononis rotundifolia
Lineage: Eukaryota; Viridiplantae; Streptophyta; Magnoliopsida; Fabales; Fabaceae
Description: 5.8S ribosomal RNA
Rfam family: 5.8S ribosomal RNA
About the family: 5.8S ribosomal RNA (5.8S rRNA) is a component of the large subunit of the eukaryotic ribosome. It is transcribed by RNA polymerase I as part of the 45S precursor that also contains 18S and 28S rRNA.
Source: RNAcentral